GAAGCCGGAAUUGCUGUAAUGGCAGGUCAGCAUACUGCCGUGAAUACGUUCCCGGGCCUUGUACACACCGCCCGUCACACCAUGAGAGUUGGGGAUACCCGAAGCCUGUGAGCUAACUUUAGAGGCAGCAGUCGAAGGUAGAAUCAAUGAUUGGGGUGAAGUCGUAACAAGGUAUC
RNAcentral lists this ribosomal RNA (176 nucleotides) under uncultured bacterium. RNAcentral's name for it is "partial 16S ribosomal RNA". It matches the Rfam family "Bacterial small subunit ribosomal RNA", at positions 1322 to 1500 of the family's 1533-position model. The record is from RNAcentral.